This is a non-coding RNA of Desmophyllum pertusum, 80 nucleotides long. Lineage: Eukaryota; Metazoa; Cnidaria; Anthozoa; Scleractinia; Caryophylliidae. The record is from the annotation of a GenBank genome assembly.
GGCUUCAUAGUCAUAGCUCAGUGGUAGAGUGUUUUGCGCUGGAAUCGCAAAGGUCAUGGGUUCGAAUCCCGUUGGAGCCU